UACGUAGGGUGCAAGCGUUGUCCGGAAUUAUUGGGCGUAAAGAGCUUGUAGGCGGUUUGUCGCGUCUGCUGUGAAAUUUCGGGGCUCAACCCCGAGCUUGCAGUGGGUACGGGCAGACUAGAGUGUGGUAGGGGAGACUGGAAUUCCUGGUGUAGCGGUGAAAUGCGCAGAUAUCAGGAGGAACACCGAUGGCGAAGGCAGGUCGCUGGGCCACUACUGACGCUGAGAAGCGAAAGCAUGGGGAGCGAACAGG
RNAcentral lists this ribosomal RNA (253 nucleotides) under uncultured bacterium. Its description in RNAcentral is "partial 16S ribosomal RNA". It matches the Rfam family "Bacterial small subunit ribosomal RNA", at positions 524 to 776 of the family's 1533-position model. The record is from RNAcentral.